This 270-nucleotide ribosomal RNA is filed under the name Blastocystis hominis. RNAcentral describes it as "partial small subunit ribosomal RNA". It matches the Rfam family "Eukaryotic small subunit ribosomal RNA", at positions 758 to 1029 of the family's 1831-position model. The record is from RNAcentral. Lineage: Eukaryota; Bigyra; Opalinata; Blastocystidae.
UGAGAAAAUUAGAGUGUUCAAAGCAGGUAUUUGCUUGAAUAUAUUAGCAUGGAAUAAUCAUGUAUGAUUUUCAUGAUGUAUUUGAUUGGUUUGGUUCAUGAGAAUAAGAUUAAAAGGGACAGUUGGGGGUAUUCAUAUUCAAUAGUCAGAGGUGAAAUUCUCGGAUUUAUGGAAGAUGAACAAGUGCGAAAGCAUUUACCAAGGAUGUUUUCAUUAAUCAAGAACGAAAGUUAGGGGAUCGAAGAGGAUUAGAUACCCUCGUAGUCUUAA